GACGAACGCUGGCGGCGUGCCUAAUACAUGCAAGUCGAGCGAACGGACGAGAAGCUUGCUUCUCUGAUGUUAGCGGCGGACGGGUGAGUAACACGUGGAUAACCUACCUAUAAGACUGGGAUAACUUCGGGAAACCGGAGCUAAUACCGGAUGAUAUUUUGAACCGCAUGGUUCAAAAGUGAAAGACGGUCUUGCUGUCACUUAUAGAUGGAUCCGCGCUGCAUUAGCUAGUUGGUAAGGUAACGGCUUACCAAGGCAACGAUGCAUAGCCGACCUGAGAGGGUGAUCGGCCACACUGGAACUGAGACACGGUCCAGACUCCUACGGGAGGCAGCAGUAGGGAAUCUUCCGCAAUGGGCGAAAGCCUGACGGAGCAACGCCGCGUGAGUGAUGAAGGUCUUCGGAUCGUAAAACUCUGUUAUUAGGGAAGAACAUAUGUGUAAGUAACUGUGCACAUCUUGACGGUACCUAAUCAGAAAGCCACGGCUAACUACGCG
Molecule: ribosomal RNA, 497 nt
Filed under: uncultured bacterium
Lineage: Bacteria
Description: partial 16S ribosomal RNA
Rfam family: Bacterial small subunit ribosomal RNA
Source: RNAcentral